CUCUGGGUGGGCAGGAGCCUACGACAAGAUGCGCUUUACUUCUGCGUCUCACUGCCUCUGGUAGCUCAGUUAAAAAAACUGUAGAGAAAGAUUCGCCUGUCUGCCAGCUCUCCACACCGAUUUUCCUCUAACACCUUCACCACCGGACCCAAACCCCUGACUUCAGCCAGCUUCCAGAUCACCCUUCUUCGCACCAAAAGAAUAAAGACUUUGUGUUCACUA
Dicentrarchus labrax (European seabass) is the source of this 222-nucleotide long non-coding RNA. RefSeq lists it as uncharacterized. The transcript has 2 exons. The record is from RefSeq and is a predicted model, not a curated record. NCBI's taxonomy places the organism in Eukaryota, Metazoa, Chordata, Actinopteri, Moronidae.